Long non-coding RNA from Pecten maximus, 3285 nucleotides. RefSeq lists it as uncharacterized. NCBI's taxonomy places the organism in Eukaryota, Metazoa, Mollusca, Bivalvia, Pectinida, Pectinidae. The transcript has 2 exons. The record is from RefSeq and is a predicted model, not a curated record.
AUCCUGAUGAAGACAUCCACGGUAGAGUUUUGUUCUGGAAUAAACUGGCCACAUCGAUUUCCCCGCAUGCAACAACUACAGUAUAAGGAUAUUGGAGGACGGUUUCAGACUCAAUUCCCCUAACGCAAAAGUCGGUCAUAUGGAAAAGCGACAAGAAGUGGAUUUGAUUAAAUUCUACACUGACAAUAUCUGUGACAUAGGCUGAUUCAAGCGUAUAACUAAGUUACCUGUGAAAAGGGAAAUACCCUAAUUCUAUAAAUAGAACACUAAAGAGUUCCUCGAUCGCAGAAAAAAGCGGAUGGCGAUAUCGCCGAGGGUAAUAUAUAGGGAUUCGGGACGUUUGUAUUGUUAUGAACGUGGCGGAUGGCGGUAUGCGACGGUGGCGAACUUAACGAGGGAAUUAUAUAGAAGGGAACUCCGUUCUAGGGGUGUAGAUUCGGGUGGCGAUAGGUCGAGGGUACACUGUAGCUAUUUGUAGAUAUGUUAUGGUGAAAUAGAUAAUAACUGCAAAUGAUAUUGUAUUUUCAGAGGCCAUGUAGUUAGGGUGUAAAUAUUCUACAUGCGGUCACAUGGUAUGAUCGUAAGAAUCGGAACAAUUUGGGGUUAGUUCGGUUUAUGUCCUUUCAAUAGCUGUAUGCUUGUGUCAUAUGGGAAGCGCCAUUACAAAGAUACGCGAACAUGAACAUACCUCAGCCACCCAAUACACAGACACUAUACGCAAAAAUCUGUGUAUUUGUAUGUUAUUGCUUAUAACAGAAUGAAAUUUGGAGAGAUGUUAGAUAUGUAAUUACAUAUACCAAACAGUUCCACGUUUGAAGAUUUGCUGACCCACAUCAAAACAAUUCCAGAUUUGCAACCAAGAAACCCAUAGGAAGGACGACCAAACUGUUGAAAAUGAUCUUUUGAUGGCGUUAUGGUUAAUAGUUUCACUUUAUGGUAUGGUCUAUAACAGAUUGGAUGUAUGCGAGUAAAUAUUGUCUCGACACAUUAGAAGAAUUUUGGUGGACUUUAUUCCCAACAUUUGUUGAGUAAAUUCAUUCCUGGCCAAGUGAGAACAAACAAAUUGUGCAUGAGUGAUUCAGACAGAAGAGAUGUUGUUUUUCUCAUGUUAUUUUUCGUUGUGAGAACAUGGUUAAAAUCUAUGUGGACCCUCUGAUUUACCUUAAGAUUAGACAUAUCGUUGUCGUUGAUGUCUUUCGAUACCCUAUCAAUUUUGAAAACCUCUGCAGAAGGUUGAUCAGGUUCAACAAACUGUUUUGCUAUUGAAUGCCUUUGUAGCUAUCAAAGAUCGUUACAAGAAUGGAGUUGAUAGAAAUGAGCGGUAAGUCAUCGCAAUUACUUGCAUAUCUCACAUUUGCAUCAUUCAGGUACAAAUACAAAAAUAACUGAUACCAAUCGAACUGGUUGCGAGACACAGAUAAUACUUGAUUGUAAAAGGUAUGUCGCAGGCAUGACACAACGGAGGAUCUUCCUUUCGUAAAAUAUAACUGAGAGCUAUAUAUAUAUAUGGCCAAUGGUUUAUGUAUUCUUAAUGGUGAAUUAACAAUAUAAAUGUCAUUACGGCCAUAAAAUGGUGAGUAAAACUAUAACUAAAAUGGGGGAAAUGACAAAACAUCAAACAUACGAAACAUGUAAAAAUGUGAAUAUAUAUUGGUACCUUCACGUUCAGUUUAUGAUGAUUUUACUCACAGAAGAAUCCAUUAAAAUAUAUCCAGUUCAAAUUUUUAACAGUCAUCAAUGCCAAUGUUUUACCCCAUCUUUGCUGUUAGAUUUCAAAUGUAGAUUUUUCUCCAAUCUCAUCAAUUUUGGAGUAUACCAUUAACAUUGUGUAAGGAAAAUUGGUUUUCUGUCGGAGUUAUCUCCCUUUUACAUACAAUUGUUAAGCGCUGUUUUAUCUCAUUGAUUAUUGGAUGAUUACUAAUUAAUGGUUGGAUUGUAUAGAUUGAAAAUGAUUCCUAAAUAUACCUUGAUUGAUAAGAAAGAUAAUAUACCAUGUAAAUGUGUUUGUAUAUAAAGAUGAUACAAGGUUUUAGAGCGAAAUGUGCAAUAUGCAAAUGAAUGGUACCACUGGCUUGCCGAAUAGCCUGGCACAUAAAUAGCCAGCUACAAACUGUGAUCGGGGGGAGAAUAUGCCGCUGAAAAGUGGGCGUGAUUCUAAUUGAUUUGUAUGCGUAUGCAAUCUGAUUUUUCCCGUUUUCCCCAGAUGAUUUCUCUGAGUACUGGUGUACUACAAAUAUAUUUUGCUCCAUCCAAGAGGGUAAACUGGUAUCCGAUCUGUUUCUUUUAUAAUUACAUCGAUGGUUUUGUGCUUUAUUUAUUCAUUUAAAAUGUUUUUUUUAAAGGAGUUAUGUAUUGAUAAUAAUUAAAAUGUUGAUUCCAUAUUACUUUCCAAUUAUUGAAUGACGUUUUUAUCUGUAAAUAUUGAAUAAAAUUUUAUGAAACUUAAAAAAGAUAAUAAUUACAAUGUUGAUUCCAUAUUACUUUCCAAUUAUUGAAUGACGUUUUUAUCUGUAAAUAUUGAAUAAAAUUUUAUGAAACUUAAAAAGAAACUGACAGGUUUCAAACCCCGGUAGCUACGAAGGCUGAGUAAGUCUUUGUGGAGAGACUGAGAAGUCUCUCAUGUAACGAUUGGUGGUCGCUGAAUAAGUGCCCAUUAGUCGUGAGGUAGUGUGUUGUUGCGCUGUACGAGGCAGAUGCACAAGGUUACAGUGCCGGGAGCACUUGUAUUGCUGUAGAAAGCUGGUGCGCAAGUUUAACCACUACCAGGUUCCAGUGCCGGGAGCAAUUGCAUUGCUGUUGCGCAGGGCUGGAUAGGCCAGUGCGCAAGGUAGACACUGGGAGCACUUGCAUUACUACUGCGCUUCAUAAGCUGGUGCGCAGGUAGCCGGUGCGCUGUGCAAAUGCCGGAGCACUUGUAAUAGGCGUGAUUGAUUGAUCAUUGCCGGCGCGCACGACAGCCACGGCGCGUACCAGUGCACUGAGAGAGUACAUACAUUAGGCGUUUGCGAGCGUCAGUGCCUGCUAUAGUUAUAUUUGUAUGGUAGUUUUAAAGGUCCGUGGCAAGCAGCACGACCGUUUCACUUGUUCUUGUAUGUCAUAUAUAGAUAAAUCAUUUGUAAUUAUUGCCGAUUAUAUUCCGAUUGAGAGUAGAUUAGUCAAGUGCAUUUAAAGCACAGCUUAUCCCAGGAGACACUUGGGACGGACCAGGUGCACGUUACAAUUGUUAUGUAAUUAAUAUUCAAGCUUCAAUUUGAUAAACCAUUAAUAAAUGACAUUUACAACACA